This 468-nucleotide ribosomal RNA is filed under the name uncultured bacterium. Its description in RNAcentral is "partial 16S ribosomal RNA". It matches the Rfam family "Bacterial small subunit ribosomal RNA", at positions 28 to 507 of the family's 1533-position model. The record is from RNAcentral.
GACGAACGCUGGCGGCGUGCUUAACACAUGCAAGUCGAACGGAAAGGCCCUGCUUUUGUGGGGUGCUCGAGUGGCGAACGGGUGAGUAACACGUGAGUAACCUGCCCUUGACUUUGGGAUAACUUCAGGAAACUGGGGCUAAUACCGGAUAGGAGCUCCUGCUGCAUGGUGGGGGUUGGAAAGUUUCGGCGGUUGGGGAUGGACUCGCGGCUUAUCAGCUUGUUGGUGGGGUAGUGGCUUACCAAGGCUUUGACGGGUAGCCGGCCUGAGAGGGUGACCGGCCACAUUGGGACUGAGAUACGACCCAGACUCCUACGGGAGGCAGCAGUGGGGAAUAUUGCACAAUGGGCGGAAGCCUGAUGCAGCAACGCCGCGUGCGGGAUGACGGCCUUCGGGUUGUAAACCGCUUUCGCCUGCGACGAAGCGUGAGUGACGGUAAUGGGUAAAGAAGCACCGGCUAACUACGUG